Xyrichtys novacula (pearly razorfish) is the source of this 315-nucleotide non-coding RNA. Lineage: Eukaryota; Metazoa; Chordata; Actinopteri; Labriformes; Labridae. The record is from the annotation of a GenBank genome assembly.
UGUUGAUGGCUGGACAUUGCAUCAUCCUAGAAAACUUGGAGGCCAGUGAGGACAAAAAUAAAAAGUUAUAAGACUUUUAAAAAUGUGGAUUUUUGGGUUAUCUUUGGCGCCCCCUAGAACGUAAACCGUGGGGUGCAGCGUCAUGAUUUGAAUAACUUUUAAUGGCCAUGGGGUGUAAUUUGGCCUGAGCAAAUGUGGUGCUGGUGGAACGAAAGCCUUCGGAGGAGUUAGCGAAAUUCCAAUGUGUGCGAAUCGGCAAAAAAUGCGGAAUAACCCUUUAACCGUACAUUAGACAGAUACGCGCGCAUGGACUUU